RNAcentral lists this ribosomal RNA (525 nucleotides) under Salmonella enterica. RNAcentral describes it as "bacterial SSU rRNA". It matches the Rfam family "Bacterial small subunit ribosomal RNA", at positions 997 to 1522 of the family's 1533-position model. RNAcentral also lists the same sequence under 6 other names. The record is from RNAcentral. Lineage: Bacteria; Pseudomonadati; Pseudomonadota; Gammaproteobacteria; Enterobacterales; Enterobacteriaceae.
UUUCCAGAGAUGGAUUGGUGCCUUCGGGAACUGUGAGACAGGUGCUGCAUGGCUGUCGUCAGCUCGUGUUGUGAAAUGUUGGGUUAAGUCCCGCAACGAGCGCAACCCUUAUCCUUUGUUGCCAGCGGUUAGGCCGGGAACUCAAAGGAGACUGCCAGUGAUAAACUGGAGGAAGGUGGGGAUGACGUCAAGUCAUCAUGGCCCUUACGACCAGGGCUACACACGUGCUACAAUGGCGCAUACAAAGAGAAGCGACCUCGCGAGAGCAAGCGGACCUCAUAAAGUGCGUCGUAGUCCGGAUUGGAGUCUGCAACUCGACUCCAUGAAGUCGGAAUCGCUAGUAAUCGUGGAUCAGAAUGCCACGGUGAAUACGUUCCCGGGCCUUGUACACACCGCCCGUCACACCAUGGGAGUGGGUUGCAAAAGAAGUAGGUAGCUUAACCUUCGGGAGGGCGCUUACCACUUUGUGAUUCAUGACUGGGGUGAAGUCGUAACAAGGUAACCGUAGGGGAACCUGCGGUUGGA